CUGCCGUUCUUUACCUUCUCGCCCUCAUGCCAGGCAGCACUCCCCUUAACCCACCCAGUCAUAAUCUAACCCACAGCGAAAAUGUAGGCAACUUCAUGUUUCUCAACUCUGUCAUGGUUUCUCCUGGAUGAAACUGCCCAUUUCCCAAUCCUUUAUGAGGAGCAGAAAGGAGGGUGUUGCUGUCACUCCACAGGAAAAUGAGCCCAAUGUCUAAGGUCAUCUCAGGAGUGACUGCUAUUCAGUGGGACCUAGUGAUGGGAAGCUACCACCUUGGAAAAGCAGGAAUUAGGUAGCCUAGUAUUCCUUUUUCCUCAAAAGAAAGUUUUACACUAUGCAAGACUUGAUAAAAAAUGUAUAUAACUUUUGUUACAGAGUGUACAAAUAAAUGAGUACACCCACAACCUAAUUAAGAAAUAGAAUAUUUCUAUCACUAAAGUUCCACAUUUGCCACCCCCCAGCGAAAGCCACUCUCCUGAAUGGUUUAUCAUCCCCUUACUUUUUCAACAUUAUAAAAAUAAUAAAUUCAUAAACACAACAUAUAAACACUAUAGCAGCAUUAACUAUGUUAAUACAUCAAUUGUAUCAACACGUAAUAUGUAAAAGUCUUGUUACACAAGAAAGAGGUAACACGGCAGGCCAGACUGCUCUCCUUUCAAGGGCAUCCGUACAAGGUUGGCCCUCUACUAGCAUCUGGGAUUAGGAUUUCAAGGAGAGUUCUCAUCAUUCCACAACUGGUAAGAGUGGCUCAUUGUGCCUAAACUGUGUGUACAAACAACAUGGUUUACCCUGAACACCUGCUUUCCUUUUGGAAGUUUGGGAUUUGGGUACGUGCAAGGCAGAGGCAGCCUAGGCCACCGCCUCCCAGUAAGACCCUGGUACUGAGCGUCCAACAGCUUCCCUGGCUGAUGCCCAGUAAUACCUGUUGUCAGCAGUCACUGCCGAGAGAGAGAAGCGUGCACUGUGUGACUCCACUGGGAGACGAGUCCUGGAAGCCUGGCUUCCUCCAGACUUCACCCCACGUGCCUUGCCUUUUUGUGAUUUUGCUUUGUAUCCCUUCACUAUAAGAAAUCUUAGGCAUGAAUGUGACUACAAACUAAAUCCUGUGAGUCAUCCUACUACAUCGCUGAAUCCCUAGCAUAACUGCAUAAUGUGUAUUAUAUAUACUACAUAAAAAAUUACACAAAUGUAAUUAGAUUUGUAAUUUUGUUAUAUUUCCAAAGAACAUCUGAUUCCAUGAAAAAUGGAAUGAUACUGUAUAUUUCUGAGACUAAUUUUACUUAACAUUAUUUCUAAAACUGAUCCAUGUUUUACAAUGUAUGGCUACGGCUCAUUCAUCUUCCACUUAUAAAAAGAAUUCCAUCGUAUGAUUACAUCACAAUUUAUGUAUUCACUCUGCAGUUGAUGACUAUUGCAUUGUUUCCAUGUUUUUGCUAUCCUGAGCAGCACAGCUAUGACCUGAUUCUCUCUCCCAGUGUGUUCCCAAGGCUCAAGUACACACCAUGGCUAUGAACACUAAGGAAGACUGAAUUCUAAAAAAAAAAAAA
Non-coding RNA from Callorhinus ursinus (northern fur seal), 1544 nucleotides. The record is from RefSeq and is a predicted model, not a curated record. Lineage: Eukaryota; Metazoa; Chordata; Mammalia; Carnivora; Otariidae.